This 1388-nucleotide ribosomal RNA is filed under the name metagenome. Its description in RNAcentral is "bacterial SSU rRNA". It matches the Rfam family "Bacterial small subunit ribosomal RNA". The record is from RNAcentral.
GCAUCGGUACGUACCUUUCAGUGGGGGGUAACGUAGCGAAAGUUACGCUAAUACCGCAUAUUCUGUGAGCAGGAAAGCAGGGGAUCGCAAGACGUUGCGCUGAUGGAGCGGCCGAUGUCAGAUUAGCUAGUUGGUGGGGUAAAGGCUCACCAAGGCGACGAUCUGUAGCGGGUCUUAGAGGAUGAUCCGCCACACUGGAACUGAGACACGGUCCAGACUCCUACGGGAGGCAGCAGUGGGGAAUUUUGGACAAUGGGCGCAAGCCUGAUCCAGCCAUGCCGCGUGAGUGAAGAAGGCCUUCGGGUUGUAAAGCUCUUUCGGCCGGGAAAAAAUCGCUUGGGUUAAUACCCUGAGUGGAUGAUGGUACCGGAAUAAGAAGCACCGGCUAACUACGUGCCAGCAGCCGCGGUAAUACGUAGGGUGCGAGCGUUAAUCGGAAUUGCUGGGCGUAAAGCGUGCGCAGGCGGUUUUGUAAGACAGGCGUGAAAUCCCCGGGCUCAACCUGGGAACUGCGUUUGUGACUGCAAGGCUAGAGUAUGGCAGAGGGGGGUGGAAUUCCACGUGUAGCAGUGAAAUGCGUAGAGAUGUGGAGGAACACCAAUGGCGAAGGCAGCCCCCUGGGCCAAUACUGACGCUCAUGCACGAAAGCGUGGGGAGCAAACAGGAUUAGAUACCCUGGUAGUCCACGCCCUAAACGAUGUCAACUAGGUGUUGGGUGGGUAAAACCAUUUGGUACCGUAGCUAACGCGUGAAGUUGACCGCCUGGGGAGUACGGCCGCAAGGUUAAAACUCAAAGGAAUUGACGGGGACCCGCACAAGCGGUGGAUGAUGUGGAUUAAUUCGAUGCAACGCGAAAAACCUUACCUACCCUUGACAUGCCAGGAACUUGCCAGAGAUGGCUUGGUGCCCGAAAGGGAGCCUGGACACAGGUGCUGCAUGGCUGUCGUCAGCUCGUGUCGUGAGAUGUUGGGUUAAGUCCCGCAACGAGCGCAACCCUUGUCGUUAAUUGCCAUCAUUUAGUUGGGCACUUUAACGAGACUGCCGGUGACAAACCGGGGGAAGGUGGGGAUGACGUCAAGUCCUCAUGGCCCUUAUGGGUAGGGCUUCACACGUCAUACAAUGGUCGGUACAAAGGGUUGCCAAGCCGCGAGGCGGAGCCAAUCCCAGAAAGCCGAUCGUAGUCCGGAUCGCAGGCGGCAACUCGCCUGCGUGAAGUCGGAAUCGCUAGUAAUCGUGGAUCAGCAUGUCACGGUGAAUACGUUCCCGGGUCUUGUACACACCGCCCGUCACACCAUGGGAGCGGGUUCCGCCAGAAGUAGGUAGCCUAACCGCAAGGAGGGCGCUUACCACGGCGGGGUUCGUGACUGGGGUGAAGUCGAAACAAGGUA